CAAUAGCGUAUAUUAAAGUUGUUGCAGUUAAAAAGCUCGUAGUUGGAUUUCUGAUCGAGACAUCAGGUCGGGUCCGAGAGGAUCAUGUACUUUGAUUUUGUUUUGAUCAUCCUUGGGGAGAGCAUUUCUGGCAUUCAGUUGUCGGGAUUGGGAUCCUCAUCGUUUACUGUGAAAAAAUUAGAGUGUUCAAAGCAGGCCUCGGCCUCUGAAUACAUUAGCAUGGAAUAAUAAGAUAGGACUUUGGUGGUCUAUUUUGUUGGUUUGCACGCCAAAGUAAUGAUUAAUGGGGAUAGUUGGGGGUAUUCGUAUUCAAUUGUCAGAGGUGAAAUUCUUGGAUUUAUGGAAGACGAACUACUGCGAAAGCAUUUACCAAGGAUGUUUUCAUUAA
This 388-nucleotide ribosomal RNA is filed under the name uncultured eukaryote. RNAcentral's name for it is "partial 18S ribosomal RNA". It matches the Rfam family "Eukaryotic small subunit ribosomal RNA", at positions 592 to 976 of the family's 1831-position model. The record is from RNAcentral.